RNAcentral lists this ribosomal RNA (218 nucleotides) under uncultured bacterium. RNAcentral's name for it is "partial 16S ribosomal RNA". It matches the Rfam family "Bacterial small subunit ribosomal RNA", at positions 116 to 334 of the family's 1533-position model. The record is from RNAcentral.
CGUGAGGAACCUGCCUCAAAGAGGGGGACAACAGUUGGAAACGACUGCUAAUACCGCAUGACGCAUAGAGGUCGCAUGAUCUUUAUGCCAAAGAUUUAUCGCUUCAAGAUGGCCUCGCGUCUGAUUAGCUAGUUGGCGGGGUAACGGCCCACCAAGGCGACGAUGGGUAGCCGAGCUGAGAGGCUGAUCGGCCACACUGGAACUGAGACACGGUCCAG